GGACUACAAGGGUUUCUAAUCCUGUUUGCUCCCCACGCUUUCGUGCCUGAACGUCGGUGCUGGACCAGGAAGCCGCUUUCGCCACUGAUGUUCCUUCCGAUAUCUACGCAUUUCACCGCUACACCGGAAAUUCCGCUUCCCUCUUCCGCACCCUAGCCUUUCAGUCUCGAAUGCAAUUCCCAGGUUGAGCCCGGGGAUUUCACACCCGACUUAAGAGACCGUCUGCGCACGCUUUACGCCCAGUAAUUCCGAUUAACGCUCGCACCCUCUGUAUUACCGCGGCUGCUGGCAC
RNAcentral lists this ribosomal RNA (292 nucleotides) under uncultured bacterium. Its description in RNAcentral is "partial 16S ribosomal RNA". The record is from RNAcentral.